This 433-nucleotide ribosomal RNA is filed under the name uncultured bacterium. RNAcentral's name for it is "partial 16S ribosomal RNA". It matches the Rfam family "Bacterial small subunit ribosomal RNA", at positions 29 to 507 of the family's 1533-position model. The record is from RNAcentral.
AACGAACGCUGGCGGCAUGCCUAACACAUGCAAGUCGAACGAGACCUUCGGGUCUAGUGGCGCACGGGUGCGUAACGCGUGGGAACCUGCCCUUAGGUUCGGAAUAACUCCCCGAAAGGGGUGCUAAUACCGGAUAAUGUCUUCGGACCAAAGAUUUAUCGCCUUUGGAUGGGCCCGCGUUGGAUUAGUUAGUUGGUAGGGUAAAAGCCUACCAAGGCGACGAUCCAUAGCUGGUCUGAGAGGAUGAUCAGCCACACUGGGACUGAGACACGGCCCAGACUCCUACGGGAGGCAGCAGUGGGGAAUAUUGGACAAUGGGCGAAAGCCUGAUCCAGCAAUGCCGCGUGAGUGAUGAAGGCCUUAGGGUUGUAAAACUCUUUUACCCGGGAUGAUAAUGACAGUACCGGGAGAAUAAACUCCGGCUAACUCCGUG